GAAACGACUGCUAAGACUGGAUAGGAGACAAGAAGGCAUCUUCUUGUUUUUAAAAGACCUAGCAAUAGGUAUGCUUAGGGAGGAGCUUGCGUCACAUUAGUUAGUUGGUGGGGUAAAGGCCUACCAAGACUAUGAUGUGUAGCCGGGCUGAGAGGUUGAACGGCCACAUUGGGACUGAGACACGGCCCAAACUCCUACGGGAGGCAGCAGUAGGGAAUUUUCGGCAAUGGAGGAAACUCUGACCGAUCAACGCCGCGUGAACGAUGAAGUAUUUCGGUACGUGAAGUUCUUUUAUUAGGGAAGAAUAAAUGAUGGAAAAAUCAUUCUGACGUUACCUAAUGAAUAAGCCCCGGCUAAUUAUGUGCCAGUCCCCGCGGUAAUACAUAAGGGGCAAACGUUAUCCGGAAUUAUUGGGCGUAAAGGGUGCGUAGGCGGUUAAAUAAGUUUAUGGUCUAAGUGCAAUGCUCAACAUUGUGAUGCUAUAAAAACUGUUUAGCUAGAGUAAGAUAGAGGCAAGUGGAAUUCCAUGUGUAGUGGUAAAAUGCGUAAAUAUAUGGAGGAACACCAGUAGCGAAGGCGGCUUGCUGGGUCUUUACUGACGCUGAGGCACGAAAGCGUGGGGAGCAAACAGGAUUAGAUACCCUGGUAGUCCACGCCGUAAACGAUGAGUACUAAACGUUGGGUAAAACCAGUGUUGAAGUUAACACAUUAAGUACUCCGCCUGAGUAGUACGUACGCAAGUAUGAAACUUAAAGGAAUUGACGGGACUCCGCACAAGCGGUGGAUCAUGUUGUUUAAUUCGAAGGUACCCGAAAAACCUCACCAGGUCUUGACAUGCUUCUGCAAAGCUGUAGAAACACAGUGGAGGUUAUCAGUUGCACAGGUGGUGCAUGGUUGUCGUCAGCUCGUGUCGUGAGAUGUUGGGUUAAGUCCCGCAACGAGCGCAACCCUUAUUGUUAGUUACCAGCACGUAAUGGUGGGGACUUUAGCAAGACUGCCAGUGAUAAAUUGGAGGAAGGUGGGGAUGACGUCAAAUCAUCAUGCCCCUUAUGACCUGGGCUACAAACGUGAUACAAUGGCUGUUACAAAGGGUAGCUGAAGCGCAAGUUUUUGGCGAAUCUCAAAAAAACAGUCUCAGUUCGGAUUGAAGUCUGCAACUCGACUUCAUGAAGUUGGAAUCGCUAGUAAUCGCGAAUCAGCAUGUCGCGGUGAAUACGUUCUCGGGGUUUGUACACACCGCCCGUCA
This 1246-nucleotide ribosomal RNA is filed under the name Sandal spike phytoplasma. RNAcentral's name for it is "bacterial SSU rRNA". It matches the Rfam family "Bacterial small subunit ribosomal RNA", at positions 153 to 1399 of the family's 1533-position model. Lineage: Bacteria; Bacillati; Mycoplasmatota; Mollicutes; Acholeplasmatales; Acholeplasmataceae. The record is from RNAcentral.